ACUACUAUUCUAUUGGGAAUAGAAUCUACGGACGAAACUGUUCAUCUGACCAGCUAAUCCCACAACCAACGCCCCUCUCCCGGUGGCCACUGAGAUGUUGAGACCCCGCGUUCAAUCACAUUUUAAUUGAUAAUCGAACAGCGCUUGAAACAAGAUCUGUUGUCGAUAACUAACCAACAAAGCCCGAGUUAAAGCCAUGGAGGUGCUUGGCACUUGGAAGUGGCCAGAAGUGGGGGAAUGGGGUUUGUCUUGAGAAUGAUAGCCCCGAGGGAGGGACUUGGAUGAAGGUUUGAAACCAGUCAAGCAACGG
This 310-nucleotide small RNA is filed under the name Histoplasma capsulatum var. duboisii H88. Its description in RNAcentral is "Histoplasma capsulatum H88 hypothetical RNA". The record is from RNAcentral. Lineage: Eukaryota; Fungi; Ascomycota; Eurotiomycetes; Onygenales; Ajellomycetaceae.